This is a long non-coding RNA of Anopheles funestus (African malaria mosquito), 2395 nucleotides long. RefSeq lists it as uncharacterized. The record is from RefSeq and is a predicted model, not a curated record. The transcript has 3 exons. NCBI's taxonomy places the organism in Eukaryota, Metazoa, Arthropoda, Insecta, Diptera, Culicidae.
UUAGUUUUAAAGGAAAACGCUACAUUUAAAUGAAAAAUUGAAUCCUUUUUCUUGUGCUUAGUAUCUCCCCUUUAUUCCUUACGUAAUAAAUUGGUGAUUUCUACCCCCCCCACGCACAGCAGUGAUAACAGUUUGACCGUACAGUUUCAGUUUGAAUUUCAAAAAAUGGUAUGCAAAAGGGGUUCCUUUUCAAAAAAAAAAGUUCAUUGCCACACGAUCGAACCAGCGCAACCAAUGAUCGAAGUGUGUGCGAAAGAACAAGCGAAGCUGCGGUCCAACCGCUUCGCCAAUUAUAGUUGUGUGGGUGUGUCGUGAUAACGAAGGAUCAUGAGCACAGGUGAAGCUGUGAUCAGUAGCGAUCGGACAGUGACAGAUUACGGUGAUUAAAAAAAGCGCUCGGUAUAAUUUAGCGUUAGUGUGGUUUAUUGGUGCCGAAAAAAGUGAUGCCCUUUGUUUGUGGAUCUUAAUCAACACAAAGAAUGAUUAAAAGAACAAUUCGUGUUGUUAAUGUGAUGUUAAAUAGUGAAACUUUCUUCUGCACGUGUGCUAAAUCUUUGCCAGCGUCGGCUUGGGUUUGUUUCAGCUCGCGUCAUAGUUAGCAAGUGUAAGUGAGCGAACAAUGCAACUGAGUAAAAGCAAAAUGGCGCAAAUAUCACAAACCACAUUGUCUUUCUAAGGCAAAUUGCGAAAUUAGCAUCGCUCAUAGAAAAAAACCCGAUUAAGAAAAGUGAAACGUACGCGUGUAUGUAGGUGUAUGAAGUUUGACAUUUUAUACAAAAGCCGCAUGUAAGCCGCAUCAUUGCAGAUUCCGAUCAAACGGUAUCGGGUUGAUCGUCGUUAAGAGAUAACGAGAUGGGUUACAUGCGCAGGUGUUCAAUUUGUGCGUUCUUACUCUGACGUUAAAGUUAAGAAUAAUAACGCAGGUGGAUGUACGCUAAUGCCGGUACGGUACGCGUGUGAGUGUAACGAAAUUAAUAAUCAGUGCGUGUACUAUGUGCCUCGUGUUGUCUUAAAAAAUGGCGGAAACGUGUGAUUUAUUUGUUUCCUCGUUCGGAUGGUUCUUAAUAUUUUAAAUUAAUAAAAAAAAUGUCUGUGAAAAACAAAUGUUGUGAAAAGUGUUGUGAAAAGUGCACGGAAAAAAGUGUUCGUUUUUUUGGUGAAAAAAAUCUUAUUCCUUAUUGUUAUUGUGUGUUAUUAUUGUUUAUUGUGUGAUAAAAGGUAAAGCCUACCAUUGUAGGCUAGUGUUUAAUGUUUAAAUUAAUAAAAAAAAUGUCUGUGAAAAAAAAUGUUGUGAAAAGUGUUGUGAAAAUUGUUGCGGAAAGUGUAAGAAAAAAAGUGUUGGUUUUUUUUUGUGAAAAAAGAAGUAUCAAUUUCUUAUUGCUCAAUGAGCUGAUUGCUUAUUGUGUGUGUUUGUGAUUCGUUUAUUGUGUGAUAAAUGUAAAGCCUACCAUUGUAGGCUAGUGUUUAAUGUUUAAAUUAAUAAAAAAAAUGUCUGUGAAAAAAAAUGUUGUGGAAAAUGUUGUGAAAAAUGUUUUGAUGAAGAAAAUAAAUAGCAAUGUCCAUUUCUCAAUGAUCGUUUAUUGUGUGUAUUUGUGAUCCGUUUAUUGUGUGAUAAAAUGUUAAGCUUACCAUUGUAUGCUAGUGUUUAAUGUUUAAAUGUGUGUUUUAAAUGUGCCGAAGCGCAUUCAAGUGUGUAUUUGAAAGAAAAAUUAAAGUGUGUAAAAGCAAAAUGGCCGCAAAGAAGCAGUUUUGUCCUCGGAAGUGAAGUUUAUUCCGGUUUUUCGCAAAAAAAAGAAACCCAUCAUUAAAUGCUGAUUCAGAAAUGGCCAGAGUUACUUAAGGUAAGUUACGUUUUUUUUCUUCUUUCUAUUGUGCAAUUAUAUCCUAGAACAAGAAAGUCCCUUUUGAUGUGUGACUGCAACAUAUUCUCAAACAUCACUCUAGAAAACUGCCAAGUUAACAUGCAUCUCUUUGUCCCAUUUUUUGAUCGAUGGCUUGAUGAAAGCAAUUUAAACACACAAACACACACACACGGGGACACAAUUCCAACGUCCGAAAAAAAUACCGAAACUGUUUCCCGCAGCAGUUUGUCAUGCCGGAAUGCAGUGGUGAAGGACACUCGUCACUCGGUUUACGCAUUCACGUGCCUGUUGACUGCCGAUGGACCGAGUACUGCAGCAGCUGAGUUUUGCUGCGCUUCGCUGCCUGAACGACCAAUGAUUAUGGUAAUGAAACGGAUGACUUGCAGCAACGAUCGCAUCGUCCCGUACCCGUAUAAACAUUCCUAGCGUACAAACGCUACCCAAAAAGGGAAGUGACAAAUACCAACCUCCCCUCCCCCCUGCCCCCUCCUUCAUCCGAUAUGCUGUGACCAUUUUUCCCCUUUCUUUUUCUC